Molecule: transfer RNA, 70 nt
Filed under: Camelus bactrianus (Bactrian camel)
Lineage: Eukaryota; Metazoa; Chordata; Mammalia; Artiodactyla; Camelidae
Also listed under: 2 other names
Rfam family: tRNA
About the family: Transfer RNA (tRNA) molecules are approximately 80 nucleotides in length. Their secondary structure includes four short double-helical elements and three loops (D, anti-codon, and T loops). Further hydrogen bonds mediate the characteristic L-shaped molecular structure. tRNAs have two regions of fundamental functional importance: the anti-codon, which is responsible for specific mRNA codon recognition, and the 3' end, to which the tRNAs corresponding amino acid is attached (by aminoacyl-tRNA synthetases). tRNAs cope with the degeneracy of the genetic code in two manners: having more than one tRNA (with a specific anti-codon) for a particular amino acid; and 'wobble' base-pairing, i.e. permitting non-standard base-pairing at the 3rd anti-codon position.
Source: Rfam by way of RNAcentral
GAGGGUCUAGCUCAGUGGUAGAGCACAUGCUUAGCAUGCACAAGGUCCUGGAUUCAAUCUCCAGUCCUCC